This is a non-coding RNA of Pelobates cultripes (western spadefoot toad), 311 nucleotides long. Lineage: Eukaryota; Metazoa; Chordata; Amphibia; Anura; Pelobatidae. The record is from the annotation of a GenBank genome assembly.
GUUGAGAAUCCUUUGCAGGCAUUGACUGUUUGAAGUCUGGAGCGCAUGGGCAUCACGAAAAGCUGGGUUUCCUCCUUUGUGAUGCUUUGUCAGACCAUUACUGCAGCUGCCCUUAGCUGUUCUUUCUUUGUCUUCAGCAAGUGAAAUGCAUGCUCGAUCAAGUUGAGAUCAGGUGAUUGACUAGGCCAUUGCAGAAUAUUCCACUUCUGUGCCGUAAAAAACUCCUGGUUUUUGUGUCAUUGUCCAUCUGUAUAGUGAAGCACCGUCCAUUCAACUUUGCUGAAUUUGGCUAAAUCUGAGCAGACAAUAUA